AACGCACGAGACCUGCGGACCUGCGGAGGGAUCAUUACAGAGUUCAUGCCCUCUGGGCAGACCUCCCACCCGGUGUCAUCACCACGACCGUUGCUUUGGCGGGCGCGCGGCGCCCGCCAGAGGCCCCCAGACUCGAUAUGUGUGUCGUCUGAGUGCUAUACAAUCGUUAAAACUUUCAACAACGGAUCUCU
Molecule: unclassified non-coding RNA, 191 nt
Filed under: soil metagenome
Description: partial contains 5.8S ribosomal RNA, internal transcribed spacer 2, and large subunit ribosomal RNA
Source: RNAcentral